GCAAUAGCAUACAAACUGAUUUUUUAAAUAUAAGCUUAGGUUGUAAUUGUACAAGUGACUCAAUGGAAGUACAAAAUAGGGCAGUUUUAACUUUUUUUUCUGCUUCUAUGGAUUUCAUUUUGUUGUGUUUUCAAAAAGUUAUGGUGCUGUAUAGGUGCUUUCUGUUUAACCUGGAAAGUGUGAUUAUAUUCGUUACCUUCUUUGGUAGACGGAAUAGUUGGGACCACC
RNAcentral lists this long non-coding RNA (228 nucleotides) under Homo sapiens (human). RNAcentral describes it as "non-protein coding lnc-AFG1L-7:1". Lineage: Eukaryota; Metazoa; Chordata; Mammalia; Primates; Hominidae. The record is from RNAcentral.